GAUGAACGCUGGCGGCGUGCUUAACACAUGCAAGUCGAACGAUGAAGCCCAGCUUGCUGGGUGGAUUAGUGGCGAACGGGUGAGUAACACGUGAGUAACCUGCCCUUAACUCUGGGAUAAGCCUGGGAAACUGGGUCUAAUACCGGAUAGGAGCGCCUACCGCAUGGUGGGUGUUGGAAAGAUUUAUCGGUUUUGGAUGGACUCGCGGCCUAUCAGCUUGUUGGUGAGGUAAUGGCUCACCAAGGCGACGACGGGUAGCCGGCCUGAGAGGGUGACCGGCCACACUGGGACUGAGACACGGCCCAGACUCCUACGGGAGGCAGCAGUGGGGAAUAUUGCACAAUAGGCGAAAGCCUGAUGCAGCGACGCCGCGUGAGGGAUGACGGCCUUCGGGUUGUAAACCUCUUUCAGUAGGGAAGAAGCGAAAGUGACGGUACCUGCAGAAGAAGCACCGGCUAACUACGUG
Molecule: ribosomal RNA, 466 nt
Filed under: uncultured bacterium
Lineage: Bacteria
Description: partial 16S ribosomal RNA
Rfam family: Bacterial small subunit ribosomal RNA
Source: RNAcentral